This 502-nucleotide ribosomal RNA is filed under the name uncultured Glomeromycotina. Its description in RNAcentral is "partial small subunit ribosomal RNA". It matches the Rfam family "Eukaryotic small subunit ribosomal RNA", at positions 591 to 1092 of the family's 1831-position model. The record is from RNAcentral. Lineage: Eukaryota; Fungi; Glomeromycota.
CCAAUAGCGUAUAUUAAAGUUGUUGCAGUUAAAAAGCUCGUAGUUGAAUUUCGGAAUCUGUCCGUCGGUCGGGCUUCACUGUCCGUACUGGUGUGAUGGGUUUCUACCUUCUGAAUAACCGGCAUGUCAUUAAUUUGGUGCGCCGGGGAAGCAGAACUAUUACCUUGAAAAAAUUAGAGUGCUUAAAGCAGGCUAUCGCCUGAAUAGAUUAGCAUGGAAUAAUAAAAUAGGACGGCAUGGUUCUAUUUUGUUGGUUUCUAGGAUCACCGUAAUGAUUAAUAGGGAUAGUUGGGGGCAUUAGUAUUCAAUUGUCAGAGGUGAAAUUCUUGGAUUUAUUGAAGACUAACUUCUGCGAAAGCAUUUGCCAAGGAUGUUUUCAUUAAUCAAGAACGAAAGUUAGGGGAUCGAAGACGAUCAGAUACCGUCGUAGUCUUAACCAUAAACUAUGCCGACUAGGGAUCGGACGAUGUUAAUUUUUUAAUGACUCGUUCGGCGCCUUACG